ACUAAGUCACUUUGUCUUUAUGGCAAAUGUGAGAUGCAGUGUAUGGAAUGUCAAAUUUCUAGUAUGAGAAAUUAACGAUUUAAGUCCUUCUUAAAUGAGGCCAUUUACCCAUAGAGGGUGCCAGGCCCGUAUAACGUUAAUGAUUACUAGAUGGCAUUUCCAAAGAGUCGUGUUGCUUGAUAGUGCAGCACUAAGUUGGUGGUAAACUCCAUCUAAAACUAAAUAUAACCAUGAGACCGAUAGUAAACAAGUACCGUGAGGGAAAGUUGAAAAGAACUCUGAAUAGAGAGUUAAAUAGUACGUGAAACUGCUUAGAGGUUAAGCCCGAUGAACCUGAAUAUCCAUUAUAGAAAAUUCAUCAUUAUGAUUUUAAUAUUAAUAAUAUUAUAAUAAUGGUGUGCAUUUUUUCUAUAACGGACAUUGUAAUCUAUUAACAUAAUAUAUAUUUAUCAUAAGAUCAAUGAUGCGUAAGUUUAUUCAAAUUAUUUUGCUUGCAAUUUAACAUAGAAUAAAUGCUCUUGAUUUGAUAAAGUGUUGAUAGAUUUAUUAUAUAUAGUGCUUAAAUAUUUAUAUUUUAUAAUAGCAUAUUAAUCAUUGAUUUUUAUGUUUAUUAUAUGCACUUAUAUGAUUAACAAUGCGAAAGAUUCAGGAUACCUUCGGGACCCGUCUUGAAACACGGACCAAGGAGUCUAACAUAUUUGCAAGUUAUUGGGUAUCAAAACCUAAUAGCGAAAUUAACAUAACUUAAUUUUAAUGGGAUUAGUUUUUAGAUUAUUUAUAGUCUAUUAAUUCAAUCCCGGGGCGUUCUAUAUAGUUAUGUAUAAUAAUAUUUAUAUUAUUUAUACCUCUAACUAGAGCGUACCUUGAGCAUAUAUGCUGUGACCCGAAAGAUGGUGAACUAUACUUGAUCAGGUUGAAGUCAGGGGAAACCCUGAUGGAAGACCGAAACAGUUCUGACGUGCAAAUCGAUGUCAGAA
Molecule: ribosomal RNA, 977 nt
Filed under: Sarcophaga paralina
Lineage: Eukaryota; Metazoa; Arthropoda; Insecta; Diptera; Sarcophagidae
Description: eukaryotic LSU rRNA
Rfam family: Eukaryotic large subunit ribosomal RNA
Source: RNAcentral